RNAcentral lists this transfer RNA (61 nucleotides) under Indotyphlops braminus (Brahminy blind snake). RNAcentral's name for it is "tRNA-Cys". The record is from RNAcentral. Lineage: Eukaryota; Metazoa; Chordata; Lepidosauria; Squamata; Typhlopidae.
AGUUCGGAGGUGUAUAACACGUCAAAUUGCAAAUUUGAAGAGGGCUUUAAGCUUCGGACUU